GAUGAACGCUGGCGGCGUGCUUAACACAUGCAAGUCGAACGAGAAGUGGAGACGGAAACCUUCGGGCGGAAGACUUUAUUUCGAGUGGCGGACGGGGGAGUAACGCGUGGGUAACCUGCCUCAUACAGGGGGAUAACAGUUGGAAACGACUGUUAAUACCGCAUAAGACCACAGCACCGCAUGGUGCGGGGGUAAAAACUCCGGUGGUAUGAGAUGGACCCGCGUUCGAUUAGCCAGUUGGCGGGGUAACGGCCCACCAAAGCGACGAUCGAUAGCCGAUCUGAGAGGAUGACCGGCCACAUUGGGACUGAGCCACGGCCCCACCUCCUACGGGAGGCAGCCGUGGGGAAUAUUGCCCCAUGGGGGAAACCCUGCUGCCGCGCCGCCGCGUGAGUGAAGAAGUAUUUCGGUAUGUCCAUCUCUAUCAGCAGGGACGCCCAUGCCGGUACCUGAGUAAGACGCCCCGGCUAACUACGUG
RNAcentral lists this ribosomal RNA (478 nucleotides) under uncultured bacterium. RNAcentral's name for it is "partial 16S ribosomal RNA". It matches the Rfam family "Bacterial small subunit ribosomal RNA", at positions 28 to 507 of the family's 1533-position model. The record is from RNAcentral.